RNAcentral lists this ribosomal RNA (713 nucleotides) under uncultured Pseudomonadota bacterium. RNAcentral describes it as "bacterial SSU rRNA". It matches the Rfam family "Bacterial small subunit ribosomal RNA", at positions 69 to 771 of the family's 1533-position model. Lineage: Bacteria; Pseudomonadati; Pseudomonadota. The record is from RNAcentral.
GUAACAGGAAGAAGCUUGCUUCUUUGCUGACGAGUGGCGGACGGGUGAGUAAUGUCUGGGAAACUGCCUGAUGGAGGGGGAUAACUACUGGAAACGGUAGCUAAUACCGCAUAACGUCGCAAGACCAAAGAGGGGGACCUUCGGGCCUCUUGCCAUCGGAUGUGCCCAGAUGGGAUUAGCUAGUAGGUGGGGUAACGGCUCACCUAGGCGACGAUCCCUAGCUGGUCUGAGAGGAUGACCAGCCACACUGGAACUGAGACACGGUCCAGACUCCUACGGGAGGCAGCAGUGGGGAAUAUUGCACAAUGGGCGCAAGCCUGAUGCAGCCAUGCCGCGUGUAUGAAGAAGGCCUUAGGGUUGUAAAGUACUUUCAGCGGGGAGGAAGGGAGUAAAGUUAAUACCUUUGCUCAUUGACGUUACCCGCAGAAGAAGCACCGGCUAACUCCGUGCCAGCAGCCGCGGUAAUACGGAGGGUGCAAGCGUUAAUCGGAAUUACUGGGCGUAAAGCGCACGCAGGCGGUUUGUUAAGUCAGAUGUGAAAUCCCCGGGCUCAACCUGGGAACUGCAUCUGAUACUGGCAAGCUUGAGUCUCGUAGAGGGGGGUAGAAUUCCAGGUGUAGCGGUGAAAUGCGUAGAGAUCUGGAGGAAUACCGGUGGCGAAGGCGGCCCCCUGGACGAAGACUGACGCUCAGGUGCGAAAGCGUGGGGAGCAA